Molecule: ribosomal RNA, 254 nt
Filed under: uncultured bacterium
Lineage: Bacteria
Description: partial 16S ribosomal RNA
Rfam family: Bacterial small subunit ribosomal RNA
Source: RNAcentral
UACGUAGGGUGCAAGCGUUUGUCCGGAAUCAUUGGGCGUAAAGCGCGCGUAGGUGGCUUCGUAAGUCCGUUGUGAAAGUCAAAGGCUCAACCUUUGAAUGCCGAUGGAUACUGCGAAGCUAGAGUACGGAAGAGGCGAGUGGAAUUCCUGGUGUAGCGGUGGAAUGCGCAGAUAUCAGGAGGAACACCAAUAGCGAAGGCAGCUCGCUGGGACGUUACUGACACUAAGGCGCGAAAGCGUGGGGAGCGAACAGG